Molecule: ribosomal RNA, 449 nt
Filed under: uncultured Anaerolineaceae bacterium
Lineage: Bacteria; Bacillati; Chloroflexota; Anaerolineae; Anaerolineales; Anaerolineaceae
Description: bacterial SSU rRNA
Rfam family: Bacterial small subunit ribosomal RNA
Source: RNAcentral
UCCCGCACAAGCAGCGGAGCGUGUGGUUUAAUUCGAUGCUACACGAAGAACCUUACCUGGGUUUGACAUAGAGGUAGUAGGGAAGCGAAAGCGGACCGACCUUCGGGAGCCAUUUACAGGUGUUGCAUGGCUGUCGUCAGCUCGUGUCGUGAGAUGUUCGGUUAAGUCCGCUAACGAGCGCAACCCUCGCUGUGUGUUAUAUGUGUCACACAGGACUGCUGGUAUUAAGCCGGAGGAAGGUGGGACGACGUCAAGUCAGCAUGACCUUUAUAUCCAGGGCUACACACACGCUACAAUGGUCAGUACAAUGGGUUGCCAAGCCGCGAGGCGGAGCCAAUCCUAAAAAGCUGGCCUCAGUUCAGAUUGCAGUCUGAAACUCGACUGCAUGAAGUCGGAGUUGCUAGUAAACGCAGGUCAGCUAUACUGCGUUGAAUACGUUCCCGGGGCUU